AUACGGAGGGUGCAAGCGUUAAUCGGAAUUACUGGGCGUAAAGCGCGCGUAGGCGGUUAUUUAAGUCAGAUGUGAAAUCCCUGGGCUCAACCUAGGAACUGCAUCUGAUACUGGGUAACUAGAGUUUUGGAGAGGUAAGUGGAAUUUCCGGUGUAGCGGUGAAAUGCAUAGAGAUCGGAAGGAACACCAGUGGCGAAGGCGACUUACUGGCCAAAAACUGACGCUGAGGUGCGAAAGCGUGGGUAGCAAACAGGAUUAGAAACCCCGGUAGUCC
This 274-nucleotide ribosomal RNA is filed under the name uncultured bacterium. RNAcentral describes it as "partial 16S ribosomal RNA". It matches the Rfam family "Bacterial small subunit ribosomal RNA", at positions 523 to 796 of the family's 1533-position model. The record is from RNAcentral.